Molecule: ribosomal RNA, 425 nt
Filed under: uncultured bacterium
Lineage: Bacteria
Description: partial 16S ribosomal RNA
Rfam family: Bacterial small subunit ribosomal RNA
Source: RNAcentral
GUGGGGAAUCUUGCGCAAUGGGCGAAAGCCUGACGCAGCCAUGCCGCGUGAAUGAUGAAGGUCUUAGGAUUGUAAAAUUCUUUCACCGGGGACGAUAAUGACGGUACCCGGAGAAGAAGCUCCGGCUAACUUCGUGCCAGCAGCCGCGGUAAUACGAAGGGGGCUAGCGUUGCUCGGAAUUACUGGGCGUAAAGGGCGCGUAGGCGGACAGUUUAGUCAGAGGUGAAAGCCCAGGGCUCAACCUUGGAAUUGCCUUUGAUACUGGCUGUCUUGAGUACGGGGGAGGUGAGUGGAACUCCGAGUGUAGAGGUGAAAUUCGUAGAUAUUCGGAAGAACACCAGUGGCGAAGGCGACUCACUGGCCCGUUACUGACGCUGAGGCGCGAAAGCGUGGGGAGCAAACAGGAUUAGAAACCCUGGUAGUCC